CGGGAAGCCAUAUGGCGACAUAGAGCGGAACCCGAAAACCUGUCUCAGUUCGGAUUGGAGUCUGCAACCCGACUCCAUGAAGCUGGAUUCGCUAGUAAUCGCGCAUCAGCCACGGCGCGGUGGAUACGUUCCCGGGCCUUGUACACACCGCCCGUCAAGCCAUGGAAGCCGGGAGUGCCUGAAGUGCGUGAGCGCAAGCAGCGCCCUAAGGUAAAACCGGUGACUGGGGCUAAGUCGUAACAAGGUAUC
This 249-nucleotide ribosomal RNA is filed under the name uncultured bacterium. Its description in RNAcentral is "partial 16S ribosomal RNA". It matches the Rfam family "Bacterial small subunit ribosomal RNA", at positions 1243 to 1500 of the family's 1533-position model. The record is from RNAcentral.